GCCGCUUUAGCUCAGCUGGUAGANNAGAGCAACCGCCUUGUAAGCGGUAGGUCGUCCGUUCGAAUCGGACAAGCGGCACCA
RNAcentral lists this transfer RNA (81 nucleotides) under Lysobacterales bacterium. RNAcentral's name for it is "tRNA-Thr". It matches the Rfam family "tRNA". Rfam says of the family: Transfer RNA (tRNA) molecules are approximately 80 nucleotides in length. Lineage: Bacteria; Pseudomonadati; Pseudomonadota; Gammaproteobacteria; Lysobacterales. The record is from RNAcentral.